Molecule: long non-coding RNA, 1188 nt
Organism: Serinus canaria (Common canary)
Lineage: Eukaryota; Metazoa; Chordata; Aves; Passeriformes; Fringillidae
Exons: 4
Source: RefSeq, a predicted model, not a curated record
GCAACACUGAAAGGAGUUUUUUGGAGGAAUUCCAUCUUUGUCCUGAGUUAUUAACUUGUCUGAAGAAUGGCAAAGGUAGAAAAUCUGGGGGACAGGAAGAGAAAUCAAAACUGCCCCCAGACAUCAGAACUACCCAAGAAACGCUGCCUCAUUUCCCGGGAAGGAACGUUGUUCAGUUUACUGUAAAUCUGCUGAUGAUUCUGUGAUCACAGCCAAAGGUCAACCCACUCUUGGUGGUUCUCUGAAAUACAAUCUGAUGGUUCAUCUCAGAAAACAAAAAUACCGUGAGAAGACACUGGGGAGAAUGAUUUACAAAAAACCUUACAACCGGAAAAGGUGAAUUUUGGUGACAUUUGAAUCUUCAUUGGGAGCAAACUGGAUCCAGAUUCCACCACGGAAAUCUUAAAGUGCCAAAGAAAAACAAGGGGCAAGCUGAGUAAGGGCAGAGCUGAAGAGGUGUCAACGCCGCGGCCGAGAACGCUCGAGGAGGCAGGGAUGGUGCUCCAGGGGCAUGGCAGGCACAGCAAACGCUCUCCUCCAGGUUGGCUACUCCUGACUAAACAGAGCUUUCAGCAGGAAAAGCCAAAAUCUUGCCCAGAGGCAGUGCAGUGCUCCAGAUGAGUCCCAUGCCAGCUCCAGCGGGUGAGCUGUAUCCAGCCUCAGAGUCGAAGCAGGAAUCAAUGGAAAACACAUUGAAAAGAGGAUUGUGUCCAUCUGGAGGAGGAUUGACCUCCAUUUCCACACUGGGAAGAUUGAGUUAUACCAGUUUUGCCUUUUGUUACCCACCUAAGAUGCCUGUGCAGAUUCAACAGGAUGUUGACCUGGAUCUCUCAGAACAGCUCAUGGAGAGGAAAGACCCUCUGACACAAAACCACGUCACUGGACAGGGAACUGUCAUGUCAGGGAGGGCAUCUGGAAGAUCAAAGUGGGAAUAAACCAAUCCCUCCAAGCUGUGUGGCUUUGCAUGGCUGAGUUCUGUUUCCAGACGUUUGCAGCACAGCUCAUGUUCUUUCCUUAACAAGGAAAGAACUUUUGUGUAAAAUUCAGUAAAUCGAAAAAGCUGGGUCGUGUAAAAUUCAGUAAAUAAAAAAGAAACCCAGACCAAACAUCACGGGCCUGUUGGGAAAAAACUGGAAUUUAAUUUCUCUUCUACAGACCUUUCCCAGAAAAGCCAGGCAUGGGCCAGCA